Molecule: ribosomal RNA, 207 nt
Filed under: uncultured bacterium
Lineage: Bacteria
Description: partial 16S ribosomal RNA
Rfam family: Bacterial small subunit ribosomal RNA
Source: RNAcentral
CGCGUAGGCGGUCUUUUAAGUCAGGUGUGAAAGCCCGGGGCUCAACCCCGGAAGUGCACUUGAAACUAUGAGACUUGAGUAUGGGAGAGGGAAGUGGAAUUCCUGGUGUAGCGGUGAAAUGCGUAGAUAUCAGGAGGAACAUCAGUGGCGAAGGCGACUUCCUGGACCAAUACUGACGCUGAGGCGCGAAGGCGUGGGGAGCAAACA